This is a non-coding RNA of Pristionchus pacificus, 61 nucleotides long. NCBI's taxonomy places the organism in Eukaryota, Metazoa, Nematoda, Chromadorea, Rhabditida, Neodiplogasteridae. The record is from Rfam.
UCUUCAUUUCACACACUCUCUCGCCUCUCUGACCGGUGAGAGAGCACGUGAAAUGAAGAGA